RNAcentral lists this ribosomal RNA (239 nucleotides) under uncultured bacterium. RNAcentral describes it as "partial 16S ribosomal RNA". It matches the Rfam family "Bacterial small subunit ribosomal RNA", at positions 337 to 592 of the family's 1533-position model. The record is from RNAcentral.
GCCUACGGGGCGCAGCAGUGGGGAAUAUUGCACAAUGGGGGAAACCCUGAUGCAGCAACGCCGCGUGAGUGAGGAAGUAUUUCGGUAUGUAAAGCUCUAUCAGCAGGGAAUAGAAAAGAAGGUACCUGAAAAAGAAGCCCCGGCUAACUACGUGCCAGCAGCCGCGGUAAUACGUAGGUGGCAAGCGUUAUCCGGAUUUAUUGGGGGUAAAGGGCGGGUAGGCGGGAAUGAAGUUCGGA